This 305-nucleotide ribosomal RNA is filed under the name uncultured bacterium. Its description in RNAcentral is "bacterial SSU rRNA". It matches the Rfam family "Bacterial small subunit ribosomal RNA", at positions 336 to 658 of the family's 1533-position model. The record is from RNAcentral.
CGCCUACGGGAGGCAGCAGUGGGGAAUAUUGCACAAUGGGGGAAACCCUGAUGCAGCGACGCCGCGUGAGUGAUGAAGUAUUUCGGUAUGUAAAGCUCUAUCAGCAGGGAAGAUAAUGACGGUACCUGACUAAGAAGCUCCGGCUAAAUACGUGCCAGCAGCCGCGGUAAUACGUAUGGAGCAAGCGUUAUCCGGAUUUACUGGGUGUAAAGGGAGCGUAGACGGCAGCGCAAGUCCGAAGUGAAAGCCCGGGGCCCAACCCCGGGACUGCUUUGGAAACUGUGAAGCUGGAGUGCGGGAGGGGG